GGUUUGUUGGUGUAGUGGUUAUCACGCUUGCCUGUCACGCAAGAGAACACGGGUUCGAAUCCCGUACAAAUCG
This 73-nucleotide transfer RNA is filed under the name Lactococcus phage LW81. RNAcentral describes it as "tRNA-Asp". It matches the Rfam family "tRNA". From Rfam's summary of the family: Transfer RNA (tRNA) molecules are approximately 80 nucleotides in length. Their secondary structure includes four short double-helical elements and three loops (D, anti-codon, and T loops). Further hydrogen bonds mediate the characteristic L-shaped molecular structure. tRNAs have two regions of fundamental functional importance: the anti-codon, which is responsible for specific mRNA codon recognition, and the 3' end, to which the tRNAs corresponding amino acid is attached (by aminoacyl-tRNA synthetases). tRNAs cope with the degeneracy of the genetic code in two manners: having more than one tRNA (with a specific anti-codon) for a particular amino acid; and 'wobble' base-pairing, i.e. permitting non-standard base-pairing at the 3rd anti-codon position. The record is from RNAcentral. Lineage: Duplodnaviria; Heunggongvirae; Uroviricota; Caudoviricetes.